UCCAAAGCAAACCCUGGAUUUCCGUGUCCAAUUUUAACUGUCCGUUUUAUAUAAUUUUUUUUUAUAAUUCGUAUUUUUAUUGUUGUUGGAUGAUAAAAUAUGAUUAAUAUUUUAUGCGCGACUUAUCUUUUUAAUUUUUUUUUAAUUUUUUUAAAUAAGACAGACGGUCAAAUAUUGGGCACGAAAACCAUGGUUUGUCCUUUUU
This is a microRNA precursor of Oryza rufipogon (brownbeard rice), 205 nucleotides long. It matches the Rfam family "MIR812 microRNA precursor family". The record is from Rfam. NCBI's taxonomy places the organism in Eukaryota, Viridiplantae, Streptophyta, Magnoliopsida, Poales, Poaceae.